RNAcentral lists this long non-coding RNA (631 nucleotides) under Canis lupus dingo (dingo). RNAcentral describes it as "lncRNA (ENSCAFG00020001735.1)". The record is from RNAcentral. Lineage: Eukaryota; Metazoa; Chordata; Mammalia; Carnivora; Canidae.
UGCACUCGGCUAGAUGCCGCCAGUCCAGGUACCUGGAUUCCGAUACAGAACACGAAGAAGUAAGAGGAGGAGCAGGAAUUCCUUGGCACUGGGAACAGUGUCUGGCAUGACUGCAGGGCAUAUCCGUGAAAAUGUUCAGGAGGCCUUCAGAUGGAUGUGCUGCUCAAGAGCUGCUACGACCCAAGUUCAAGUUAUUGGCCUUGCUGUUACCAUGGUAAUGAUGGAUGACAUCAUUGAAUUCAGAAGCAGGUGAGGAGAAAGAGGAUGCUCUGUCCCAGAGUCUUGCACAUCCUGGAGUUGAUGUGCUUCCGGAAAUGAACUGGGUGUUGAGAAAGUGAUCCAAGUGAGAAGGAAUCGGAUGCAUAAUCAUCGGUGUUUCCCCACAGAUCUUAAUUCCUUAAAGUAAGAACCAGAGAGUCAGAUGCUGGGAAACCAAGAGGCUGUAUUCCCACUUUGAGAAACAAAGCUGCAAGAACCUAGAGCACUGGGGAGCUAAAUCCCAUAGAAAUCUUCAAUCUGGGAUUUCAGAUUGCUUAAUCAUGUGUGGAAAAAUGGAUAGUCUCCAAUGAUCUAGAAGUAAUUAUUUAAUGAUUAACUGUGUUUGUAAAUUAAAUGUUCAACCUGAGGAUAG